RNAcentral lists this transfer RNA (72 nucleotides) under Polytoma uvella. Its description in RNAcentral is "tRNA-Asn". It matches the Rfam family "tRNA". From Rfam's summary of the family: Transfer RNA (tRNA) molecules are approximately 80 nucleotides in length. Their secondary structure includes four short double-helical elements and three loops (D, anti-codon, and T loops). Lineage: Eukaryota; Viridiplantae; Chlorophyta; Chlorophyceae; Chlamydomonadales; Chlamydomonadaceae. The record is from RNAcentral.
UCCCCAGUAGCUCAGCGGUAGAGCACUCGGCUGUUAACCGAUAGGUCGUUGGUUCGAAUCCAGCCUGAGGAG